RNAcentral lists this ribosomal RNA (252 nucleotides) under uncultured bacterium. RNAcentral's name for it is "partial 16S ribosomal RNA". It matches the Rfam family "Bacterial small subunit ribosomal RNA", at positions 524 to 776 of the family's 1533-position model. The record is from RNAcentral.
UACGUAGGGGGCUAGCGUUAUCCGGAAUUACUGGGCGUAAAGGGUGCGUAGGUGGUUUCUUAAGUCAGAGGUGAAAGGCUACGGCUCAACCGUAGUAAGCCUUUGAAACUGGGGAACUUGAGUGCAGGAGAGGAGAGUGGAAUUCCUAGUGUAGCGGUGAAAUGCGUAGAUAUUAGGAGGGACACUAGUUGCGAAGGCGGCUCUCUGGACUGUAACUGACACUGAGGCACGAAAGCGUGGGGAGCAAACAGG